Molecule: transfer RNA, 75 nt
Filed under: Mycolicibacterium sp. CBMA 294
Lineage: Bacteria; Bacillati; Actinomycetota; Actinomycetes; Mycobacteriales; Mycobacteriaceae
Also listed under: 5 other names
Description: tRNA-Pro
Rfam family: tRNA
About the family: Transfer RNA (tRNA) molecules are approximately 80 nucleotides in length.
Source: RNAcentral
UCGGGCUGUGGCGCAGCUUGAUAGCGCAUCCGCUUUGGGAGCGGACGGUCGCACGUUCGAAUCGCGUCACCCGAU